RNAcentral lists this ribosomal RNA (301 nucleotides) under uncultured bacterium. RNAcentral's name for it is "partial 16S ribosomal RNA". It matches the Rfam family "Bacterial small subunit ribosomal RNA", at positions 509 to 807 of the family's 1533-position model. The record is from RNAcentral.
CAGUCGCCACGGUAAUACGAAGGGGGCUAGCGUUGCUCGGAAUUACUGGGCGUAAAGGGAGCGUAGGCGGGUCGUUUAGUCAGAGGUGAAAUCCCGGGGCUCAACCUCGGAACUGCCUUUGAUACUGGCGACCUUGAGUAUGGGAGAGGUGAGUGGAACUCCGAGUGUAGAGGUGAAAUUCGUAGAUAUUCGGAAGAACACCAGUGGCGAAAGCGACUCACUGGCCCAUUACUGACGCUGAGGCUCGAAAGCGUGGGGAGCAAACAGGAUUAGAUACCCCCGUAGUCCCUGUCUCUUAUAC